CCAGUACACACCACCCUCUUCACUUCGCCGCCGCCACCGCUGGCGACGGCGACCGCGAGCCUCCGCUAUCCGACCUUACCUCGCCGCUGCCGCUGCCGCCGGCUGGGAGAGUGAGGGGCGGACGCGCGGAGGACGGUGCAGGCGCUUCGGUUACGGUCGGCCGAGGACCUGCAGCGAGUUCGGUUCGAUCCGACAUGCUUAAUUCGAAAUAAACAGGACAAAUCAGGAAUCUUGAAGCGCAUCAGGUAGCUUAGCUUGGUCUGAACUUCACCAGAAUGUAGAAGAGAUUAUGCAGGAUUGCAAAUAUCUUGUACCUAAGGUGAGAAUACAGCAAUCGUUGUGCUCUUGUUGGAAAUACAAAGAAAAUUGAAGCUCCAAAUAUGUUCUUACUAUAAUCUUGCUAAUCGUACUACCAUUGCAAGAGUACCAAUCAAUCAGAGCACUACAAACAUGUGGCCUUGGAUUUCACAUGCCAUUUUCACUAUGAAUGGCAUUUUUCGAUUGACAAUCUAUUUGCGGUGGCACUGAUCUCGGUUUGUCUUGGAAGAACUAGUGACAAAAAUGUGCCAAUACGUGUGUUACCAGCUAAAGUAUCUUGUAUCCAGUAAAUAUGUUGGCAGAAGAACUAGGAUUAAUUUUGAAGAGUGGCCUAAUCUGAAACGUGCUCCAUCUUGUGUUCAUUUGUUGCCUGGUAUGCAUCUUGUCUAUCCCGUGGAACUCAAUGAGAGGAUGAUAGCAAUCUAACUGGAGUGUAGAAUGUUGGAAGCUCAAGGUAUGAUUUCUCACUGUUAUAUAUACUUCAUCUCUUGCUAAUACAUGAGACAUUUGCUUGCUGCGCCAUGGCCUAUGUAAUCUUACUAGGAGUAGGUAGGAGCAAUUACUAUUGACUUGUUAUAAAUGGCCUCAGGUGUUCAUGAUACAAGUAAUGUCCAUUGUUUUCUCCAAGUAUUAUUCUUCACAAGAGUGCUCUAAACCAACCAUCUGUCUAGAUUAUGGAAUAGGCACACUAUAACAUGAAAUCAGUACAUGCAUUUACAUGUUGUCAACAAAAAUGUGUUGUUUAAUUUGAUUGGCACUAAACUAGGGUAUGCCAUCAUUUGAACUUGGGGGUCAGACAUGCAAAAGGUAAGCAAAACAUGCUGAACUAAAUGAAAGUUGGAUUCUGGUACCGCUUGGACAACCAAACCGCACAGUCCUACCAAAUUUUUGUGAGACCAAAGGAAGAGGAAGUAGCACUUAAGAACAAUAGGAAUGGGAGGCACUUUUCCUUCAUGUUCCCAUUUCUACAGCUCUUAUAUAAACCUUCUUUCUCCCUCUUCCCAAUCUCACUCUCAAGGUCCAGCCCAUCACUCGAAAUGCGGACAUCUUUUCCUACUAGACAAAUGUGCGAGACGAGAAGGAAGGGGAAGGAGCACCCAAGAACAAUAGGAAUGCGAGGCAUCAGAAAAAAAAAAAGCCGAACGUCGAAGAAAUUUAGAGCUCAUGCUUUCCACCAUGUUCCUAUUCCCCCUUCUCUUGAUUUCUUGAACCCUCUCAUUCUUUCCCUUCCCUAGCUCACCCUCCCUGCUGCCAAGUGCUGUGCAGAACUCGGAAAAUAAGCUAUGUGAGUGAUGAGCAAUGAGCACUCCUACUGCACGGUGUACCAUACUUCCAGUCCAUAGGACAUAUCAGUGAUGGCAGUGGGACUAUAUGGAUUUUGUGUUGUAAAUGUAGAUGAACACAUUUUUGGCUGUAGGGAGGUGGUCUUCUACUCUUGCAUAUCAA
Oryza sativa Japonica Group (Japanese rice) is the source of this 1764-nucleotide non-coding RNA. NCBI's taxonomy places the organism in Eukaryota, Viridiplantae, Streptophyta, Magnoliopsida, Poales, Poaceae. The record is from RefSeq and is a predicted model, not a curated record.